CUCUGUGCCACCUAAUUGCUUUAAGACAGCAGUGGGCAGCUAAGGAGAUUCACAGUCAAGAAACUGCUUCCCUUAAUAAAAGAUCAGCACCUGCUUUUCAAAAUAAUCUUCAAGAAAUGUCUAGAAAACUUAUAGGUUAAGGGUCAAAUAGACAGUUGUGUUGUAGAUGGAAUUAAAAGUCAGGUCUUUUCUGACUCCCAGGCUGGAUCUCCAUUUGUUUUACCAUUUGCCUGUCAUUGAGAGAAACUUCAUGGAUUAUCAGGGAAGGAAGGAACACAUACUGGUGAGUGGAGUAUAAUUGCUAAGGGACUUGAAUUUUGAUGGCUGUGGUCACCCAAAGAAGAGUGGAAUCAAUGGUUGGCAUCCCAGGAAGAAGGGAAAGUGUCUGCUUGCAGUAACAGAACUACUGCGAUGGGGCUCUAUAACAACACAAGACUUAGCAGCUUUGGCAUUAUAAGGACAAGGGGCUUGGAACACAAUAUUUUAAAAAGCAAAGGAACUGUGUUUAAAACAAAAAAUAACAUUACCCAACAAAGUUGAUCAAAAUUAUAUAAGGAAAAGGUGAAUAUGGAGUUUUGACUAUUUUGGGGAGAAAUCCAAAAUGUAGUAAAAAAAAUCAUAAGAAGGUAAAGAUAAAAUGCCAAUUAUAGGGCACUGGAC
Molecule: long non-coding RNA, 660 nt
Filed under: Monodelphis domestica (gray short-tailed opossum)
Lineage: Eukaryota; Metazoa; Chordata; Mammalia; Didelphimorphia; Didelphidae
Description: lncRNA (ENSMODG00000035153.2)
Source: RNAcentral